This 385-nucleotide ribosomal RNA is filed under the name uncultured bacterium. RNAcentral describes it as "bacterial SSU rRNA". It matches the Rfam family "Bacterial small subunit ribosomal RNA", at positions 28 to 414 of the family's 1533-position model. The record is from RNAcentral.
GACGAACGCUGGCGGCGUGCUUAACACAUGCAAGUCGAGCGGUAAGGCCCUUUCGGGGGUACACGAGCGGCGAACGGGUGAGUAACACGUGGGUGACCUGCCCUCAGCUCUGGGAUAAGCCUGGGAAACUGGGUCUAAUACUGGAUAUGACUCCACGGUGCAUGUCGUGGGGUGGAAAGCCUUGUGCGGCUGAGGAUGGGCCCGCGGCCUAUCGGCUUGUUGGUGGGGUGAUGGCCUACCAAGGCGACGACGGGUAGCCGGCCUGAGAGGGCGACCGGCCACACUGGGACUGAGACACGGCCCAGACUCCUACGGGAGGCAGCAGUGGGGAAUCUUGCGCAAUGGGCGAAAGCCUGACGCAGCGACGCCGCGUGAGGGAUGACGG